UNGAUGCUCAGUUAAUGUUUAUUGAGUGGU
RNAcentral lists this non-coding RNA (30 nucleotides) under Mus musculus (house mouse). The record is from RNAcentral. Lineage: Eukaryota; Metazoa; Chordata; Mammalia; Rodentia; Muridae.